Molecule: ribosomal RNA, 505 nt
Filed under: Salmonella enterica subsp. enterica serovar Infantis
Lineage: Bacteria; Pseudomonadati; Pseudomonadota; Gammaproteobacteria; Enterobacterales; Enterobacteriaceae
Also listed under: 6 other names
Description: partial 23S ribosomal RNA
Rfam family: Bacterial large subunit ribosomal RNA
Source: RNAcentral
CUGGAGGUAUCAGAAGUGCGAAUGCUGACAUAAGUAACGAUAAAGCGGGUGAAAAGCCCGCUCGCCGGAAGACCAAGGGUUCCUGUCCAACGUUAAUCGGGGCAGGGUGAGUCGACCCCUAAGGCGAGGCCGAAAGGCGUAGUCGAUGGGAAACGGGUUAAUAUUCCCGUACUUGGUGUUACUGCGAAGGGGGGACGGAGAAGGCUAUGUUGGCCGGGCGACGGUUGUCCCGGUUUAAGCGUGUAGGUGUGUGUUCCAGGUAAAUCCGGUUCACUUUAACACUGAGGCGUGAUGACGAGGCACUACGGUGCUGAAGCAACAAAUGCCCUGCUUCCAGGAAAAGCCUCUAAGCAUCAGGUAACAUCAAAUCGUACCCCAAACCGACACAGGUGGUCAGGUAGAGAAUACCAAGGCGCUUGAGAGAACUCGGGUGAAGGAACUAGGCAAAAUGGUGCCGUAACUUCGGGAGAAGGCACGCUGACACGUAGGUGAAGUGAUUUACUCA